UACGUAGGUGGCAAGCGUUGUCCGGAUUUAUUGGGUUUAAAGGGUGCGUAGGCGGCCCUGUAAGUCAGUGCUGAAAUACCCCGGCUUAACCGGGGGGGUGGCAUUGAUACUGCAGGGCUUGAGUACAGAUGAGGUAGGCGGAAUUGACGGUGUAGCGGUGAAAUGCAUAGAUAUCGUCAAGAACACCGAUAGCGAAGGCAGCUUACUGGGCUGUAACUGACGCUGAGGCGCGAAAGCGUGGGGAGCGAACAGG
RNAcentral lists this ribosomal RNA (253 nucleotides) under uncultured bacterium. RNAcentral's name for it is "partial 16S ribosomal RNA". It matches the Rfam family "Bacterial small subunit ribosomal RNA", at positions 524 to 776 of the family's 1533-position model. The record is from RNAcentral.